GUUCAAAACUAGGACAACAACAAAAAUUUUUAGAAUUUAAGGUUCUUCCCCUUUUCUUACAACACUGUAAAGGGAAGUUAACAAAAAGAAAAACGAUAUGCUUAUUCUAUUUAAGAGUCGAUCUAACCGGCAAGCUCUUAGAUGCAUACAUACACAAAAAAUCCAAGUUAACAAGAUUCUGCUCCUAUCUUUGAAAAGGGUCGAAGUAUUGCAUGUCAACAUAGAGAAAAUCAGAUAAAACACAUCUCAAACUAAAAGCAUCUUGAUCAUCAAACAAGACUGACGACGUAAGCUUUAAAUAUUAGAUCAAAUGGAAUAACAUAUGUAUCCUAGAAAAGGGAGGAAGGGAAACAAAGGACGCAAACUCUCAUUUUUACAAAAUAUAAGCAGAAAAGGGCAAUAAAUGAUAAACCGAAAA
This 418-nucleotide unclassified non-coding RNA is filed under the name Hevea brasiliensis (rubber tree). The record is from RNAcentral. Lineage: Eukaryota; Viridiplantae; Streptophyta; Magnoliopsida; Malpighiales; Euphorbiaceae.